RNAcentral lists this ribosomal RNA (467 nucleotides) under uncultured bacterium. RNAcentral describes it as "partial 16S ribosomal RNA". It matches the Rfam family "Bacterial small subunit ribosomal RNA", at positions 28 to 507 of the family's 1533-position model. The record is from RNAcentral.
GACGAACGCUGGCGGCGUGCUUAACACAUGCAAGUCGAACGGAAAGGCCCUGCUUUUGUGGGGUGCUCGAGUGGCGAACGGGUGAGGAACACGUGAGUAACCUGCCCUUGACUUUGGGAUAACUUCAGGAAACUGGGGCUAAUACCGGAUAGGAUCUCCUGCUGCAUGGUGGGGGUUGGAAAGUUUCGGCGGUUGGGGAUGGACUCGCGGCUUAUCAGCUUGUUGGUGGGGUAGUGCUUACCAAGGCUUUGACGGGUAGCCGGCCUGAGAGGGUGGACGGCCACAAUGGGACUGAGAUACGGCCCAGACUCCUACGGGAGGCAGCAGUGGGAAAUAUUGCCCAAUGGGAGGAAGCCUGAUGCAGCAACGCCGCGUGCGGGAUGACGGCCUUCGGGUUGUAAACCGCUUUCGCCUGUGACGAAGCGUGAGUGACGGUAAUGAGUAAAGAAGCACCGGCUAACUACGUG